Molecule: transfer RNA, 69 nt
Filed under: Rattus norvegicus (Norway rat)
Lineage: Eukaryota; Metazoa; Chordata; Mammalia; Rodentia; Muridae
Rfam family: tRNA
About the family: Transfer RNA (tRNA) molecules are approximately 80 nucleotides in length. Their secondary structure includes four short double-helical elements and three loops (D, anti-codon, and T loops). Further hydrogen bonds mediate the characteristic L-shaped molecular structure. tRNAs have two regions of fundamental functional importance: the anti-codon, which is responsible for specific mRNA codon recognition, and the 3' end, to which the tRNAs corresponding amino acid is attached (by aminoacyl-tRNA synthetases). tRNAs cope with the degeneracy of the genetic code in two manners: having more than one tRNA (with a specific anti-codon) for a particular amino acid; and 'wobble' base-pairing, i.e. permitting non-standard base-pairing at the 3rd anti-codon position.
Source: Rfam by way of RNAcentral
GGGGAUUUAGCUCAGUGGUAGAGCACUUGCCUAGCAAGCACAAGGUCCUGGGUUCGGUCCUCAGCUCCA